Long non-coding RNA from Mercurialis annua (annual mercury), 607 nucleotides. RefSeq lists it as uncharacterized. The record is from RefSeq and is a predicted model, not a curated record. The transcript is spliced from 3 exons. NCBI's taxonomy places the organism in Eukaryota, Viridiplantae, Streptophyta, Magnoliopsida, Malpighiales, Euphorbiaceae.
UCAAAAGAAAAGGAUUCCAGAGAAUUCAUUUUUCUCUAGCACUUCAUCUUCUACAUUUAAGAGAGAAAGGAAGAGGAAAACCAAGAAAGAAUAGAGAAAAGCUAGGUUUAGUGUUUUUGACUCAAUUUUAAGUAAUUGCUCCUAAAGAAGAUUGAACCCAUCAAUUACCAUCAACCUUGGAGCUAAAUUAGAGAUUCUACACGUGGGCGGAUUGGAGAAUUAGAAGGAUUGGAGUUAAUCAACGGGCUAGUUUAUAUUUUGCAAUUGGAAAAUUUGGAUUUAAGCGAUUGAGGCGUUCAGUAGAUAGCGAUCAGAUCGAGCCUCCACUCCUUGUUUCGGAAGGCUCCUUACUUUUUGCGUGUACAACUUCUGACUCUCUAGCGCUGCAGUAGUUCAGGCGUUUACUUUUGUCGAGGUCCUAUUAGCGGUUUAUUGUAUUUUGGGUUUAGUAACCGCUCAUGUCUAUAUCUUUUUGUUAGACCUCGUUUUCUGAUUAACAAACAAACAUCAGAGGUAGCUUUAGUUUAAAACGCUUAAUAUGUGUAUUUUGUAAAUGCUUAGAAUGAUACUUCGCAAUAUUUAUAUAUAUGUAUGUGUGGUUGUACAA